GGGGCUGAUUGGCUUUCGACAGGAGCAAAGAGGCUUAGGUGCAUGUGAGCUGGUAAGCUCUAAAACUACCACAAUUCAUAAACGCAAACAAUACAAAUUACGCUCCAGCUUACGCAAAAGUAGCGUAAGUUAAUCGCUUUUGGAGCCGGUUUAAGACAUUCUAUUCUAGCUAGAAUCUUAAGCUGUCAUUCCCUGCUAGAUGCUCUCCUUUCCACACCUUGAGUAAGGAGAAAAGAUUUAGGUUGCUUGUGGAUUCUGCCUUGGGGUGUUGGGUAGCCACAAAAAGAUGUCAAUGCCUACUAAACAUGUAGAUUCUUAAGAUUAUCUUACUUUUGGACUGGGGUUCAACUCCCCACAGCUCCACCA
This is a non-coding RNA of Helicobacter cinaedi, 366 nucleotides long. NCBI's taxonomy places the organism in Bacteria, Pseudomonadati, Campylobacterota, Epsilonproteobacteria, Campylobacterales, Helicobacteraceae. The record is from Rfam.